UACGAAGGGGGCUAGCGUUGUUCGGAAUUACCGGGCGUAAAGCGCACGUAGGCGGACAUUUAAGUCAGGGGUGAAAUCCCAGAGCUCAACUCUGGAACUGCCUUUGAUACUGGGUGUCUAGAGUAUGGAAGAGGUGAGUGGAAUUCCGAGUGUAGAGGUGAAAUUCGUAGAUAUUCGGAGGAACACCAGUGGCGAAGGCGGCUCACUGGUCCAUUACUGACGCUGAGGUGCGAAAGCGUGGGGAGCAAACAGG
This 253-nucleotide ribosomal RNA is filed under the name uncultured bacterium. RNAcentral's name for it is "partial 16S ribosomal RNA". It matches the Rfam family "Bacterial small subunit ribosomal RNA", at positions 524 to 776 of the family's 1533-position model. The record is from RNAcentral.